Molecule: long non-coding RNA, 160 nt
Organism: Oxyura jamaicensis (ruddy duck)
Lineage: Eukaryota; Metazoa; Chordata; Aves; Anseriformes; Anatidae
Exons: 3
Source: RefSeq, a predicted model, not a curated record
UAACUGACCAAAAAGUUGCUGUCCAUCUUUUUCAUAAGUCCCCUCUAAGUACUGAAAGGUUGCAGUGAGGUCACCCUGGAGCCUUCUCUUCUAUAGGCUGAACAUCCCCAGCUCUGUCAGUCUAUCUUCAUAGCAGAGGUGCUCCAGCCUCUUGAUCAUC